Molecule: non-coding RNA, 5584 nt
Organism: Podarcis lilfordi (Lilford's wall lizard)
Lineage: Eukaryota; Metazoa; Chordata; Lepidosauria; Squamata; Lacertidae
Source: the annotation of a GenBank genome assembly
GAUGACUUUCUAGUUCCAAGGUUAAGUGAGAAUUCCAUGGGGUUACACAGAAAAGCAACUCAAUGUUGGAUAGAUCACUGGUCUUCGACUGGUGAGUUGGGAUCCCACAGCCUGAUCCAUGGUGGGUUGGAGCAGGAACACUACAACCAUGCAAAUAUCUAUGGUAAAGGAUUAAGAGACGGCUCCUCCAAUUUAUGUUUGGGUUAAAAGUGGGUCCUGGGUCUGGAAAGGAUGAAGAUAUCUCAAAUGAUCCAAAUUUGUUAUUAGUGUUGGCUUUAACAUAUUUGUUUUGGAAUUAAGAGUCAAGUUUCCUUUUAAACCAGGUUCUUUUAAAAAAUAUACUUGAUUUUAUUUUUGUUUUUUUUUUAAAGUUCCAAAUAAUUUGUAACAAUCUGAUCUGUUUGUUUGUUUUAUUUUAAAAGGAUGUCACCCUCCCUGUAAUCUACAUAUAGGAUUGAAUGGUAUCGUAGCCUGGGAGAGUUCUUUCAUUCACUGUGACAAAUUAUGGCAGAACUGUAAUGCAGUUUUCUGCUUUGUUCAUGCAAAGAAUCUACUUAAAAGUACUUGAUAUGAUUAUGGUAUUCAAAGUGGGGAAGUGUCAUCCUCACGCUUGACUUUUUCUUUUUUCAUCUUUGGACUUUGUUGGCUGCUAAGGUUGCGAUUACUACAGCCCAGAGCUGAACUCCCAAGAAAACUACAAGAAAUUCCAUGUGAAGGAAGGAGAUCAAGUUCAAGCUUUCGUCAGCUUGACCUACUUCUCUCUGGAAGAUGUGCAUGGAGGGAAAACUCUACUAGCAAAAUGGGUGGUGGAAUAUAUAGAUAUCUAUUUAGCAAAAUUUAUAUACCGCUUGAUAGUCAAAAAUCUCAAAGUGGUUUACAAAAAUAAGAAAGUAAAACAUUAAAAUUAUCAAUUAAAAACAGUUGAAAGACUUGCAUUUAAACAUACAGUGGUACCUCAGGUUAAGUACUUAAUUUGUUCCAGAGGUCCGUUCUUAACCUGAAACUGUUCUUAACCUGAAGCACCACUUUAGCUAAUGUGGCCUCCUGCUGCCGCCACGCCGCUGGAGCAUGAUUUCUGUUCUCAUCCUGAAGCAAAGUUCUUAACCCGAGGUACUAUUUCUGGGUUAGCGGAGUCCGUAACCUGAAGUGUAUGUAACCUGAAGCGUAUGUAACCCAAGGUACCACUGUAUUCAAAGUCAACAGUAGCAAAAAAGAAAAUGCAUGUAAUUUCUACAUUUCUGCGUUACCACUAAGCUCUUUGGGCAGGAUUCAACCAACAAGCCCCACCAGCUGAAGGCAACACGAAGACUUCUGCUGGCGCAACAGGGCUUUCUCACCUCUCCUCCCCCGGAGCGCUCCCUUCAAAUUUUUUUUUUGGGGGGUGUCAGGAGAACCCCGGAACUGCGUGCUGGGGGAGGCGUGGGCAGAUAGUUCCAUCAGGCAAGCAGAAACACAUGUGCUGACGGCGCAUCCUGCUUAACGCUACGUUGAAUUCCUCGCUUUGUUUUCAUGCAUGGAAUCCUGCGUCAACACAGGCUAUUUGUAAGCUUUAUAGAAGCCAGGCAGCAGGCUCCUUGCUAUUAGUUCCAUUACGCCAAGAGGGAUUUUUGUCUCUUGGUAUCCUGGACAACAGUUCCCCAUGAUGCAUGGUAAACGGAACAGUUGUUGAAAGUGACUGGAGUUUCAAAAGCGACAUGCAAUAUAGGAAAAGGUGAGGGGGUGGAUCUGCUGUUCAGAGGAAAAAGAAUAUUUCUCUAGGCACAUGGAAGUCUUUGGGCUUGCUUAUUCUAGCAUCCAAACUGCCACUUAGGUUAGCAAAAGCACACAGAGAGAAUAGAGAUGCUUCACCAUGAAGCAGAGUGAGGCAUUCUCUUGAUAGAAGUUGCUAUAUAAGACCUAAGUCCUAGUAUUGUUGUUAGAUGGAAAGUAUUCUUUUUCCCCUGACCAGUUUCUUUGGGAGGGAAAAUCAGUAAGAUUUUCCAGUCCAGGCUAGGCCUCUCUUAUCACUCUUUCCACUGCACCAGUUCAGAAAGAUUAAACACACUUAAUCUUCGGUGCAAACAUACAGAGGAGGGCUUUCAAUUUAAUCAUUCCUUCUUCUUGCUCAAUUAAUCUUUACUCUUUCUCUGACUCCAAUACCUAAUCGCUUCCCUUCCCUUUGGAAGUGCUCUUUUUUUCCCUUUUUAGAUGUGAGAGCAUACUGACGUCUGAGUGUGUGUGUAGUGCAGGUUUCAGGCAGAGAAGAUGUAUUGCUUUAAAAUGGAAAAGACUGCUUAAAGCUUAAGCGCUAUGAAGUUUUCAUCACAAUUCGUUUUACGCAGACCUGGAAAAUGGAUUAAAACCAGAGGGCCAGACAAAAGUUGUAUCUAGUGAGCUGUAUGUUCUCACUCUCUUAAAUAUUGUCAUGUUUCCCACAGGUUAAUUGUGGCUUUGUAUUCCGGGCUAAAUAGAAAAGCUCAGGUUUGUUUGUUUGUUUUGCUUUAUGGGCCAGAUUCCCCAAUUGCAUGAUAGAUAUACACAGUAAGAAAAUUGAUAUUUUCAGAAUGAUGCUAUUAAGGAUCAUGUUAGCAUGGCGGCAUAGCCAUUCAGUCAUGCACAUUUUCAGAAAAGGACCAAAUUUACACAACUGGUUGAGGAAUGCAUUCUGAUAAUUUUCAGUUAUUAGGGCCUGUGGAGUUGCAUACACAUGAUAAAGGGUAAAAUUCAACAGAGCCUAAUGCGAAAGUUCCUCCGUCUCCUUUCCCUGCACGCCCUUUAAAUCUGUUGAAUGUGUUCCCCCAAACCUCUAGAACAGAUUUUAGGACUGUGUAAGGAACGAGGGAGGAAGAGAAAGUGGAAAAGUCCCUGUGCACUAGUGGAACUCAUGCAAUUAUUUAGUUGAAUACUGCCCAGUGUUUCAUGGUAUUACUCAGUGAUUUACAUGAAGCGAGAAGUUAUUAUCACGGUUCAUAAAACACAAAAAUAGCUUUGAACAGUAAUGGAAACGAUUUUAAUGCGGCCACCUCAUGAGAAGAGAAGACUCCCUGGAAAAGACCCUGAUGUUGGGAAAGAUGGAGGGGACAAGGAGAAGGGGAUGACAGAGGACGAGAUGGUUGGACAGUGUUCUCGAAGCUACCAGCAUGAGUUUGAACAAACUGAGGGGGGGAAAUGAAAGACAGGAGUGCCUGACGUGCUCUGGUUCAUGGGGUCACGAAGAGUCAGACACAACUAAACAACUAAACAUAUGAAGCAAUGUCACAUGUAACGCUGCACAUGAUCAAAAACGUAAAAGCAGAAACUUAGACUUAUCUGUGUUUAUUUAAAAAGUGAUAUUUGUUUUUAAUUUAUCAGAUAUCUAUGCUGGACAGUAUGUUUUCAGGUUAGGAAACAUCAUUGCUAAAGUGCAGCCCAAUGCAUGGAAGGUUAGGCUUUUUGCACUUUCCGUGGUUCUGAUAUCUGUUUGUGCAGCCAUAAGAUUAGCAGCUCAUGACAAGCAUGGGAUGCUUCAUUCAGGAGGGCUGCUAGCUCCAGCUUGUUGCGGAAUGAGGAUGGGCAGGCCUUGGAAGCCAUGCCUGGCUCCAGACAUGAUCACCCUGGUAGACUGUCCUCUUUAUAUUUCUAUACUUUCAUAGAAAUAAUUUCUAUACUUUCAUAAAAAUACAACAAGGCAGUGUACAUCGUAUUGUACAUCGUAUGUACAAUGACAUGCAUAGAUGAUUCUUCCGUGCUACAUGGGACAAAUGCCAAUCAUAGCAGUGGAUCAGGAAGCUCUGGCAGGGCAUUCCACAUAGAUCAGGCUCAUUAUUUUUCCAUGUUCAGCUUUAGAAGAUCACAUGUUCAAUCCCUGGCAUCUCUAGGUAUGGCAGUGAAAUACUUCUUUAUGAAAUCCAAGAGUCACAGCCAUAAUACUGAGCUUACGUGGACCAGUGGUCUGGCACAGUAGAAAAACUGCUUCCUUAAAUGUGUCAAUUUUGAAACUGACAUGUUUAAUAAGAGAAAAGUCAACAUUUGUCAAAGAUUGGAGACCUCUCAUAGACUUUUUGUGGGAAAAGGAAACAAUGAUAGCUGGAUUUGAGGAAAGUGGCUUUGUUGGGUGUUAUAUUGGAUUGGACGAAGUGAGUAUUGUUUUUUAUAGUGGACAGAUGAAGAAUUAGAAGUUCUUUGUUUUCUUUUUCUUUUAACCUCUCUUCUAUUCUUUUUUUCCCUGUCCACCCCUUUUUGUGUUUUUAUUGUAUCUAGAUAAAAAUCUUGGUUUGGUUUAAAAAAGGGGGAGGAGAUAUUAAGUUUUGUAUUUUUCUCUAUAAACCUUAACAACAUUGAUUUAAAAAGAAAAAGAAAACUGUUUCCUAUCAUCCUAUGGCUUAGCUUAGUGUAUGUCUGAGCAGAACUGAAGUCUUACUUUAGUUUGAACUUGUCACGUUGGCUGAAAUUUGUGGUGAAGUAUUUGCGCCCGGGACUUCUUGGUCUAAAGUGUGAAUUUUUACUCUUUCAGCCAUGUUAAUAUUUCCUGUGGUCCCGCUCUGACUGCAGGCAUUGGCUAGGAAGUCAUGUGAACAUCACACCAUUUUAAAAGAUUUUCCACAUCAGUCCAACGAAUUUCUCCAAAUUGUUAAUUCUUAUGGCAGACUUUGGAAACUAUUAAAAAUUAUUGUUGGGUUGGGGAUUGGAAUCAUAUGCAUUUCUGAAAAUGGGUGAAUGAAGUCUUAAAGGUAAAGGGACCCCUGACCAUUAGGUCCAGUCGUGGCCGACUCUGGGGUUGCGGCGCUCAUCUCGCUUUAUUGGCUGAGGGAGCCAGCGUACAGCUUCCGGGUCAUGUGGCCAGCAUGGCUAAGCUGCUUCUGGCGAAACAGAGCAGUGCACGGAAACACUGUUUACCUUCCCUAUUUACCGGUACCUAUUUAUCUACUUGUACUUUGACAUGCUUUCGAACUGCUAGGUUGGCAGGAGCAGGGACCGAGCAACGGGAGCUCACCCCGUCGCAGGGAUUCGAACCGCUGAAUGAAGUCUUAGGAUGUGUUAAAUAUAUAUGUAUCAUGCCCUUGCUUUAAAUUAUAAAACUUUACCACUUGUAUGGAAACAAGGCAAAAUUUCUGUCCAAGUUUAAAGACAGAAUCCCAUAUAGACUUGGGCAUGUUGAUGACAAUUGAACUCAUGUCUAAGCACAUUUGAAAAUAGCUGUUUAUUGCUGAACAAACAUUCAUAGGCAACAUUGUUCUUCAUCAGAUACAUGUGGAAAAUAUGUUUCACUCACAUCAGUGGUACUUACUUCUAUGUAAUUGGUACACUGGUAACUUUUUUCCCUGUUUUUAGGAUUGAGGUUUAUGAUGUGCAAAUAUUUCCAUUUUUUAUUUCAUGUGUCAAAAAGUAAACUGGAAAUAAGUCUCCUAUCUGGCAAGAGCUGUUUUGAAGAUACUCUGUUCUUGUUGGGUUUUGCAACCUUUUCAGGCUUUUGCAACUUUUAAUCACAUGCGUUUCAGUUCUCAGUACAGUACAUUGCUUUCCAGUGUGAAUUCAGCUGCAGAAAAGUUUUGGAACGGAUUGAUUUUUUAAGGCUGUUGAAUUGUGGGGAAGGAGCAGCAGUUCACAAGCUUUAUUUUCAGUUCUU